Molecule: long non-coding RNA, 2732 nt
Organism: Bicyclus anynana (squinting bush brown)
Lineage: Eukaryota; Metazoa; Arthropoda; Insecta; Lepidoptera; Nymphalidae
Exons: 2
Source: RefSeq, a predicted model, not a curated record
GGGUGUAAGGGGCAUGCUAACGAAAACUUAAUCCAGUGGUUCAGUACAUGAUUCUGAGUCUCUCAGCGUUGAAAUUUUUUGUCGGUCUUUUCACGAUAUUGAAAUUUUUUUUACAGUUUUUUUUAACUAAUUACAGCUUAGAAGUACUUAUUUCAUCUAUCUCAAUACGAUUUUUAAUAAAAAUCGUCAAAUCAAGAUUUUUAACAAAAACUAGCAAUGUAAAUUUAAUUUGCAAAAUGCGCGCGAUCAGCUGUUUUCCAAGAGGUCAAAUAGGCAGGUCACGACUAAUAGGUAUAUAUACAAAGUCACAAACAAACUGCGCGACGUUGUAUUGCCGACCGCCGCCGGUGCCGAGGAAAAUAAUUGCUAUCUCUCUCUAAGCUAAGUCACGCGGCGCGGUUAAUAGGUAUUUUCAAAAUAUUGAAACUUUAGGUCCUUUCGCUAGACGCUACGCUAUUUUUUCUUUAGUUCGUGUUCGGCGGUCUGUUGACAAACAAACCAAAAUUCAAAAACUUUUGUGUAUGUUUUAUGUUCUGUUAGUAGUGAUUUUCUGUAACGAAUACUCAUACAAUUGUGUCGUUUGUAUUGUGUGUGUUUGUGUGUGUUGACUGAGAAGUCUUGAAAUGCUUAGAUCAAAUCAAUUCAGUACUCAUGAAUAUCGUACCUACUACGACGACAUAACGUCUCGUAAACGAGAAACAACCUGAAGUAAGUUAACUACCUGUACCUAGUUAAAAACUUGUAAAGUAUAAAAAAUAGGUAUUAGAUAGGUAAGUGUAGCCAGCCGAUUUGCUGUCGAUGCGUACUACCUACAUGUACGUACGCAGUAGAUUGCGGAGCGUUGUUAUCGCAUUAUUCGCUGUACAUUGCGUGCUCAAAAUUUUCAAAAUCUGAAUUUUCUUAUUUCCGACGUAAUUGGUAUUUAAAAUAUCGUUGUGGAAACUAAAUUUAACCUCUUCAUGCAGUUUUCGGUAUCAUGUCCCUUACACCCAGUAUGUACGUGGAUACGUGCACACUUUUUUGAAGUAUAAGCAAAUCUUGGACGUUAGUACGUCCCCAAAAGAUUAAAGAAAGAGACGGCCGCGUGGCGCAGUGGGUAGUGACCCUGCUUUCUGCAUUCACGGCUGUGGGUUCGAUUCCCACAACUGGAAAAUAUUUGUGUGAUGAGAUUGAGUGUUUUUAAGUGUCUGUGUGUAUUUAUACAUUAUAUAAGUGUAUAUGUAGCGUAUUUAUACAUUAUACAUUUAUAUGUAGUAUAUAAUUGUAUAUUAAUAUUAUAAUAUCAACUAUCUUAGCACCCAUAACACAAGCUACUCUGUAUGCUUACUUUGAGGCUAGAUAGUGAUGUGUAUUGUUUAAGUAUAUUUAUAAUAAUAAUAAAAAAAAGAUUACCCCAUUUCUUAACCACGCGUACCCAUAGGCAUAAACCGUGCACCGUUCACCGUUUGUGACACGUGAUAUUUAAUUUCUUAAAAUGCACACAACCGAAAAACGUUACUAUACGUUCCCUUUUAAGAUAACGUACUAUAGUAACGGAUAUUUUAGUUUAGGUAUUUCAGUUAUAACGAUACCUACUUGAUAUCGUUCCGAUGCCCGCCGUUAACUUCUCAACCCUACUGAUUGUCUUUGAUUCAUAGUCGGCCAUUAUUGUUGUGUAAAAAAGUCAUCUAAGAAAAUUUCGACCAUAAAUAAGUUCAUUGUAUGAAGACCGGAUGGUGAACGAUGAAUUGAAAUAAUUCAUGAAGAUUGCGUAUUGUUUAUGCAAAACGACAGUAAAACUAUAUUUAUAAUAUUAUCAAAUUUACGUCAAACUUGAAAAUAAUGCAUAUAUUUUAACAACGUUUUAAUUCUUUUACUUAAAACAUUAAAGAAGCAUUAAUUUUUACGAAAAAUAUCUACUAUUGAAGAAAAUAGCGUGAGAAAAUGGUACAUGCAACUCAAGUAACAAAACGCAAUUAACGAAUUUAACCAAGGGCUAUUUGGACUAUUUGGUUAUCUCCCUGUUGUCUGUGUUGGCUAGUGUCAAAUUAACGUGAUAUCCUAUUAGUCUGUGGUGAAACAUAGCAUAUUAAUAACCUGUGGAUUAGAAAUUUUAAUUUAUCAAAACAAAACAAUAAUUUUAUUUUUCAGGUUAAAGAGUAUAUUUAAAAAUUAACAAAGUUUUACUAAUUUUUAGUGGUCUUAUGAGCAAAGUUUACUUCGUUUGUGUUAUUGUUACUCAAAACUAUAAAAGUAAACAAAAAAGAAAACUACCUUUAUCUACUUUUGUCGAUGUCCAUUUCUUAAGAAGUUUCUCAUUAAAACAACCCAUAACUCCACGUCCACGCCCAUGGCAGAGCUAGGGUGGUUAGCGUAACUACAAGUGGUUAACUACAGUUAGCCAACUGAAGAACAAUGGCCGAUUAAUUAGUGGUCGCGCUACUUAUCUACUACAUGUCCCUGCUGCCAGUUAUAGCAAUAAUUUCUUUGUUGGGAAGUAUUUAGCACAUCCUGGCUGCGCAAAAGGGGAGGACUAAAUUGAUUACUAUGAACAGACCAUUACGAUGAACCACUGAUAUUGACACAGAGACAUGAAGAUGAGUGCUUUGACAACAAGACUGACUAGCUGAGCCAGCUUUAAGAAUUAUGUGGUGUGUGGUGUGUGUGUGUAAUCCCAGGAGCUCUCUAUGUCAGCCAUCCAUCUAUAUUCUUACUCAUUUUUGUUAAUUAUAAAAUAAAUUUGAUUAUUUAUA